This 497-nucleotide ribosomal RNA is filed under the name uncultured bacterium. Its description in RNAcentral is "partial 16S ribosomal RNA". It matches the Rfam family "Bacterial small subunit ribosomal RNA", at positions 28 to 507 of the family's 1533-position model. The record is from RNAcentral.
GAUGAACGCUGGCGGCGUGCCUAAUACAUGCAAGUCGAGCGAACAGACGAGGAGCUUGCUCCUCUGACGUUAGCGGCGGACGGGUGAGUAACACGUGGAUAACCUACCUAUAAGACUGGGAUAACUUCGGGAAACCGGAGCUAAUACCGGAUAAUAUAUUGAACCGCAUGGUUCAAUAGUGAAAGACGGUUUUGCUGUCACUUAUAGAUGGAUCCGCACCGCAUUAGCUAGUUGGUAAGGUAACGGCUUACCAAGGCAACGAUGCGUAGCCGACCUGAGAGGGUGAACGGCCACACUGGAACUGAGAAACGGUCCAGACUCCUACGGGAGGCAGCAGUAGGGAAUCUUCCGCAAUGGGCGAAAGCCUGACGGAGCAACGCCGCGUGAGUGAUGAAGGUCUUCGGAUCGUAAAACUCUGUUAGUAGGGAAGAACAAAUGUGUAAGUAACUAUGCACGUCUUGACGGUACCGAAUCAGAAAGCCACGGCUAACUACGUG